RNAcentral lists this ribosomal RNA (827 nucleotides) under Bacillus pumilus. RNAcentral's name for it is "bacterial SSU rRNA". It matches the Rfam family "Bacterial small subunit ribosomal RNA", at positions 557 to 1384 of the family's 1533-position model. The record is from RNAcentral. Lineage: Bacteria; Bacillati; Bacillota; Bacilli; Caryophanales; Bacillaceae.
GGCGUAAAGGGCUCGCAGGCGGUUUCUUAAGUCUGAUGUGAAAGCCCCCGGCUCAACCGGGGAGGGUCAUUGGAAACUGGGAAACUUGAGUGCAGAAGAGGAGAGUGGAAUUCCACGUGUAGCGGUGAAAUGCGUAGAGAUGUGGAGGAACACCAGUGGCGAAGGCGACUCUCUGGUCUGUAACUGACGCUGAGGAGCGAAAGCGUGGGGAGCGAACAGGAUUAGAUACCCUGGUAGUCCACGCCGUAAACGAUGAGUGCUAAGUGUUAGGGGGUUUCCGCCCCUUAGUGCUGCAGCUAACGCAUUAAGCACUCCGCCUGGGGAGUACGGUCGCAAGACUGAAACUCAAAGGAAUUGACGGGGGCCCGCACAAGCGGUGGAGCAUGUGGUUUAAUUCGAAGCAACGCGAAGAACCUUACCAGGUCUUGACAUCCUCUGACAACCCUAGAGAUAGGGCUUUCCCUUCGGGGACAGAGUGACAGGUGGUGCAUGGUUGUCGUCAGCUCGUGUCGUGAGAUGUUGGGUUAAGUCCCGCAACGAGCGCAACCCUUGAUCUUAGUUGCCAGCAUUCAGUUGGGCACUCUAAGGUGACUGCCGGUGACAAACCGGAGGAAGGUGGGGAUGACGUCAAAUCAUCAUGCCCCUUAUGACCUGGGCUACACACGUGCUACAAUGGACAGAACAAAGGGCUGCAAGACCGCAAGGUUUAGCCAAUCCCAUAAAUCUGUUCUCAGUUCGGAUCGCAGUCUGCAACUCGACUGCGUGAAGCUGGAAUCGCUAGUAAUCGCGGAUCAGCAUGCCCCGGUGAAUACGUUCCCGGGCCUUGU